UCCCGGUUAACCCGGGCAGUCUCAUUAGAGUUCCCACCUUCACGUGUUGGCAACUAAUGAUAAGGGUUGCGCUCGUUGCGGGACUUAACCCAACACCUCACGGCACGAGCUGACGACAGCCAUGCAGCACCUGUGCACCAGCCCCGAAGGGAAGCGCCAUUUCUGGCGCCGUCUAGUGCAUGUCAAGCCUGGGUAAGGUUCUUCGCGUUGCAUCGAAUUAAACCACAUGCUCCACUGCUUGUGCGGGUCCCCGUCAAUUCUUUUGAGUUUCACCCUUGCGAGCGUACUCCCCAGGCGGUAUACUUAUCGCGUUGGCUACGGCACAACCAGGGUUGAGUCCGGUUACACCAAGUAUACAUCGUUUACGGCAAGGACUAC
RNAcentral lists this unclassified non-coding RNA (378 nucleotides) under uncultured Parachlamydiaceae bacterium. RNAcentral describes it as "contains 16S-23S intergenic spacer region". Lineage: Bacteria; Pseudomonadati; Chlamydiota; Chlamydiia; Parachlamydiales; Parachlamydiaceae. The record is from RNAcentral.